RNAcentral lists this small RNA (80 nucleotides) under Flavobacterium dankookense. Its description in RNAcentral is "Flavobacterium sp. ARSA-19 Flavo-1 RNA". It matches the Rfam family "Flavo-1 RNA". Lineage: Bacteria; Pseudomonadati; Bacteroidota; Flavobacteriia; Flavobacteriales; Flavobacteriaceae. The record is from Rfam by way of RNAcentral.
CUCUAGCCCUGAUUGUAGUGGAAAUCCUUUACUUUUUUUCUUUAAAAAAGUAAAGAUUGCAACGGAAAGCAGGAAAAUGG